CCUACGGGAGGCAGCAGUGGGGAAUAUUGGACAAUGGGGGAAACCCUGAUCCAGCGACGCCGCGUGAGUGAAGAAGUAUUUCGGUACGUAAAGCUCUAUCAGCAGGAAAGAAAAUGACGGUACCUGACUAAGAAGCCCCGGCUAACUACGUGCCAGCAGCCGCGGUAAUACGUAGGGGGCAAGCGUUAUCCGGAUUUACUGGGUGUAAAGGGAGCGUAGACGGCAGCGCAAGUCUGGAGUGAAAUGCCGGGGCGCAACCCCGGGACUGCUCUGGAAACUGCGAAGCGGGAGUGCAGGAGAGGUAAGCGGAAUUCCUGGUGUAGCGGUGAAAUGCGUAGAUAUCAGGAGGAACACCGGCGGCGAAGGCGGCUUACUGGACUGUAACUGACGUUGAGGCUCGAAGGCGUGGGGAGCAAACAGGAUUAGAUACCCCUGUAGUC
This 440-nucleotide ribosomal RNA is filed under the name uncultured bacterium. Its description in RNAcentral is "partial 16S ribosomal RNA". It matches the Rfam family "Bacterial small subunit ribosomal RNA", at positions 338 to 795 of the family's 1533-position model. The record is from RNAcentral.